RNAcentral lists this unclassified non-coding RNA (329 nucleotides) under soil metagenome. Its description in RNAcentral is "partial contains 5.8S ribosomal RNA, internal transcribed spacer 2, and large subunit ribosomal RNA". The stretch from base 1 to 120 matches the Rfam family "5.8S ribosomal RNA", at positions 35 to 154 of the family's 154-position model. The record is from RNAcentral.
GAUGAAGAACGUAGUGAAAUGCGAUAAGUAAUGUGAAUUGCAGAAUUCAGUGAAUCAUCGAAUCUUUGAACGCACAUUGCGCCCCCUGGUAUUCCGGGGGGCAUGCCUGUCCGAGCGUCAUUACAACCCUCAAGCUCAGCUUGGUGUUGGGCCCCGCCGCCCCGGCGGGCCCUUAAGUCAGUGGCGGUGCCGUCCGGCUCCGAGCGUAGUAAUUCUUCUCGCUCUGGAGGUCCGGUCGUGUGCUCGCCAGCAACCCCCAAUUUUUUUCAGGUUGACCUCGGAUCAGGUAGGGAUACCCGCUGAACUUAAGCAUAUCAAUAAGCGGAGGA